This 616-nucleotide ribosomal RNA is filed under the name uncultured bacterium. Its description in RNAcentral is "bacterial SSU rRNA". It matches the Rfam family "Bacterial small subunit ribosomal RNA", at positions 338 to 947 of the family's 1533-position model. The record is from RNAcentral.
CCUACGGGAGGCAGCAGUGGGGAAUUUUGGACAAUGGGCGCAAGCCUGAUCCAGCAAUGCCGCGUGAGUGAAGAAGGCCUUCGGGUUGUAAAGCUCUUUUGUCAGGGAAGAAACGGUGGAGGUUAAUACCUUCUGCUAAUGACGGUACCUGAAGAAUAAGCACCGGCUAACUACGUGCCAGCAGCCGCGGUAAUACGUAGGGUGCAAGCGUUAAUCGGAAUUACUGGGCGUAAAGCGUGCGCAGGCGGUUGUGCAAGGACAGAUGUGAAAUCCCCGGGCUCAACCUGGGAAUUGCAUUUGUGACUGUACGGCUAGAGUGUGUCAGAGGGGGGUAGAAUUCCACGUGUAGCAGUGAAAUGCGUAGAGAUGUGGAGGAAUACCGAUGGCGAAGGCAGCCCCCUGGGAUAACACUGACGCUCAUGCACGAAAGCGUGGGGAGCAAACAGGAUUAGAUACCCUGGUAGUCCACGCCCUAAACGAUGUCUACUAGUUGUCGGGUCUUUAUUGACUUGGUAACGCAGCUAACGCGUGAAGUAGACCGCCUGGGGAUACGGUCGCAAGNUUAAAACUUAAUGAAUUGACCGGNUGAGAGAGCGAGCGACGACGAGGGAGGAGG